AAUAACUGUAUUUUUACACUGUUCAUCUCUAAUAUUUGACCGUUCGUUUUAUUUAGAAUUUUUUAUGAUUAGUAUUUUUAUUGUUAUUAGAUGAUAAAACAUAAAUAAUAGUUUAUGUGUGACUAAUUUUUUAUAUUUUUUUCAUAAAAUUUUCAAAUAAGAUAUAUGGUCAAACAUUGAACACGGAUAGAC
RNAcentral lists this microRNA precursor (192 nucleotides) under Oryza glumipatula. Its description in RNAcentral is "MIR812 microRNA precursor family". It matches the Rfam family "MIR812 microRNA precursor family". The record is from Rfam by way of RNAcentral. Lineage: Eukaryota; Viridiplantae; Streptophyta; Magnoliopsida; Poales; Poaceae.